UCCACCAGGGAAGCUGCCUGGGGGGACGGGGUGAGGGGGGUGGGGCUUCUGGGGGAGGGGUGCCCACCCAUGGACAGGGCUCACCGAGGUAGGGGCGCAUGAGGCGGUAGUAGGCAGCUAGGGUCCCGCUGCUGCCGAAGGUCUCAUGGGCCUUGGUGUAGAGCACGUCCUUCCGGCUCUGGGGGCAGGAGGAGAGGUCCAGGGCCCCGGCCAGCCUGUGGGAGGCGGGAGGCUGAGGAGUUGGUCGCCAGCCCCCCACCCUUCCAACGCUGGGCAUGGCCCUCCCUUCCCAAGCCACAGCUUUCCUCUCACCCUCUGUCCUGGGGGAACAGGGUCCCCCAAAUUCACAUCCACCCAGAACCUCAGAAUGUGACCUUGUUGGGAAACAGGGUCAUUGCAGAUGGGUAAGAUGAGGUCAGACUGGAUCAGGUGGGCCCUAAACCAAUGACUGGAGGCCUUCUAAGAACAGGGAAAGCUGAGGGCUGGGUGCGGUGCUCUCACCUGUCAUCCCAGCACUCUGGGAGGCCUGGGCAGGUGGAUCACGAGGUCAGGAGAUCGAGACCAGCCUGGCCAACAUGGUGAAGCCCCGUCUCUACUAAAAAUACAGAAAUUAGCUGGGCGUGGUGGGCGCCUGUAGUCCCAGCUACUUGGGACGCUGAGGCAGGAGAAUUGCUUGAAUCCAGGAGACAAGAGAGAGGUUGCAGUGAGCCGAGAUCACGCCACUUAACUCCAGCCUAGGUGGCAGAGUGAGACUCCAUCUCAAAAAUAAGCAAACAAACAAAAAAGGGAAAUCUGAGGCUGGGCGUGGAGGCUCACGCCUGUAAAUCCCAGCACUUUGGGAGGCUGAGGCAAGAGGAUUGCUCUGAAUCCAGGAGUUUGAGACCAGCCUGGGCAACAUAGUGAGACCCUGUCUCUUAAAAAAAAAGAAUACGAAAUGUGGACACAGACGGGGGAGAGCGCAGCGUGAGGAUGGAGGCAGAGCUGGGGUUGAUGUAUCCAUAAGCCCAGGGGCGCCAAACCUUGUCAGCAAUGCCAGAAGCUGGAGGAGGCAGGAAGGGUCCUCCCUGCAGGGUUCAGAGGGGGCGGGGACUGCCAGCACCCUGAUUUCAGACCUCUGGCCUCCAGAACUGAGAGAAUAUAUUUAUCUUUAAAAUUACCCAAUUUGGCCAGGUGCAGUGGCUCACACCUGUUAUCCCAGUGCUUUGGGAGACCGAGGAGGGUGAAUCGCUUGAGGUCAGGAGUUCCAGACCAGCCUGGCCAACAUGGGCCACGUCGGAGGCCAGCAGAGCCAUGACCGUGUCCUGGGAGGUGAUGCUCCACUGGCCGAUCUCGGUGCGGGAGUAGAGGUAGACCAGCGAGGUGAUGAGCCGCAGCUGAUCCUCCGGGAGGCCUUGUGGGUAGAUCUGAGCAGGUGGGCAGGGCUAGGCAGGGUCAGCAGAGGUGCCGCGCCCACCGGCCUCCCUGUCCCCACAGCCCAGCCGUGCACCUGUGCGAGCUUGGCCUUGACCACAUGCUGGCACUCAGUGGGCAGCAGGUGCUGCAACAGGGUGUCCAGGUUGGUUCUGAGGAUGCAGCCAUCCAGGCAGGACUCAAGCUCUGCACAGUCGUAGUGCACCAGGAAGAGGUCGUCCCGCAGCGUGGCGGCCGUGAUGUUGCCUCAGACACAGGGUCCCCCUGGGGGGUGUGUGGGGUCCAGGCUGGUAACCGGGGCCUGGGCCAACCACCACUGCUGGCUCUGGGCGCCUUUUUUUUUUUUUUUUUUUUUUUUGUGAGAGAGUCUUGCUCUGUUGCCUAGCAGCAGGGUGCCAAAGGCUGGAGAGCAGUGGCAUUGAUCUCAGCUCACUGCAACCUCUGCCUCCCGGGUUCAAGCGAUUCUCACUCCUCAGCCUCCCGAGUAGCUGGCAUUACAGGCAUGAGGCACCACGCCCGGCUAAUUUUUGUGUUUUCAGUAGAGAUGGGGUUUCCCCAUGUUGGCCAGGCUGGUCUCGAACUAUGGACCUCAAGUGAUGUGCCUGCCUUGGCCUCCCAAAGUGCUGGGAUUACAGGUGUGAGCCACCGUGCCCGGCCCAGGCCCCCUCUUUGACCCCUUCCCCUCCACUUCUGACCUUGGUCAGACCUUGGCUUUCCCUGAGUUCUAACCAAGAACUUGUCCAAACUACUUCUCUGAAGUCAGCCAGGCCCGAGGGAAAAGCUGGACCGGUGAGGUGCAGGGUCGCAGGCCUCAGUGGCCAUCCUGACCUGUGCUGAGCCUGGGCCUGGAGGACACUGGUUUGGUCUUGGACUCCAGGAAGCUGGUGACGAAGCACCUGGCCUCGCGCUGGCCGAGCCUUCCCACCUGGCACGAAGCCACCACGCUGCGGAAGAAGCCCAGGCCCACGGCCUGGCGGGGCAGGUGUGGGCUGAGGUUGGUGGCCCAGGUCCCCGUGCCACGGCCCGCUUGUGCCCACCCCGGGGCCCCCUCCUACCUCCUGCACCUGCGCCCACAGGUGAGGGCUGAUGUAUGUGGCCAGGGGCCCCAGGGCCUGUAGCCCCUCCAGUGUCCAGGAGCCAGGGGGCCUUGUGCACAGAAUGGGGCGCAGUGUUGGGUCCAGGGCAGGCCCCCCGCCCUGGGAGCCCCUGCCCCUCUGUGGACACCCAGCAGGCCGGAGGAGCACCCAGUAGGUGCUUGACCACCCAGCCCCCGACUGGCACCCACGAGAGGGAUGCCCCCACCACAGCCAGCGGGACAGCACCCCAACCCUCUGCCCCCUCGGCCGCAGGACCCAGUGAGGCUGAGGCCAGAGGUCAGAUGUCAGUGGGCUGCGGACAUCGGUGACCUCUUGGGCCGACCCCGGGCUGCCUCCCGUCUCGUCCCCGCCUCCUUGCCCAGCCCUGUGACCCCACCCACCCGAGCGAGGUCUUCCCACCGGCCAGCAGUGAGUUAAGGGCAAUGCGCUGGGCAGCGGUCAGCCGGGGGCAGCGCCGCAGGUUCUCCAGCAUGUGGGGGUCUGCGGCACCGAUGCUGGACGCGUCCAUGUCACACACCAGGGCCCCGAGCAGUUGCUGGUCGGAGGCGCUGAGUCGCAGGCGGGCCACCCCCUGCAGGGCCAGCAGGUCGGCGCCCAGCGGGAGGCUGCCUCCAAUGCACCGGGCCCAUCCUGCCCAGGCGCCCACCAGACAGGCCACAGCCACCCCCCACACGCUCCGGCCCACCCCACCCAGCGCCCACCAGGCAGGCCACAGCCGCACGCCACAGGGCGACCCUCUGGUCGGGUAGAUGGCUCAGCAGCUCCACGUCCCCCUGGGCGGCACGGCGGAUGAAGGCCCGGCAGUCGGCUUCCCGCACCUGGCUCAGGCUACAGAAAAAAUUAGCCGAGCGUGGUGGCGGGCGCCUGUAGUUCCAGCUACUCAGGAAGCUGAGGCAGGAGAAUGGCAUGAACCUGGGAGGCAGAGUUUGCAGUAAGCCGAGAUCGCAGCACUGAACUCCAGCCUGGGCGACAGAGCGAGACUUUGUCUCAAAGAAAAAA
Molecule: long non-coding RNA, 3506 nt
Filed under: Homo sapiens (human)
Lineage: Eukaryota; Metazoa; Chordata; Mammalia; Primates; Hominidae
Description: PREDICTED lncRNA (TCONS_00092765)
Source: RNAcentral